Molecule: long non-coding RNA, 943 nt
Organism: Triticum aestivum (bread wheat)
Lineage: Eukaryota; Viridiplantae; Streptophyta; Magnoliopsida; Poales; Poaceae
Exons: 2
Source: RefSeq, a predicted model, not a curated record
UCAUCUUAGUAUGUUAAAGAAGAAUCAUGAAUGAUUGGGUCUACAUCUGCAUAAAAGAGAUGAUUCGUUAAUUAAUUUCAUACGUAUGUUGUUAAAAAGGAAUUAACCGUGUAGAAUGUGAAAAACUGAUAUUUGAGUUGUACUUUUUCCGCUGAAUUUUUUCACCAUGUUUCUUGGUUAUCCAGUAAGUGUUCUUCAUUAUUUUCAUCAAUUUCCUAAUGGAUUGAAAAGCUUGCUGCUACUUUCUUCCAGUGUUGUGUAUUGUGCUACUGCUCUCUAAUGUACUAUCUGAAGCUUGUACAGCGUGCCAGAGCAAAAAAUGGGAAGGCACUAAUUUGAAGUUCAGAUAUGAUAAAGAAAGAAGUCGUGCGAUCUCGGAUCUAGUGAUUUUCCACGAGCUAUGGCCUCUUUCCCUGAUGCAUAAACGUGGACGGCCGCCCUCCAACAUACCUCUUUCUCCCGCUGCUCCAGCAAGCAAGCUCCCAGCGUCGCACCUCCAGCCUGCGACCUUCCUUUCUGCCACGUCUCCACCGGUCGUUGGUACCUCCCGGCCAUAUGAAUGGCGUUGCCGAAGUCCACAUUGUACCACACUAGCAGGACGACUCCUACAGGUCGUGCCAAUCGUCUUUCUUCCAGCGUCCAUGGUCGCCAUCGCUGUCAAUAAAGUUGUACUCGAUCCAUGUGUGAUAUGUUUGCAGCACGCGCUUGAUGCAUUCGAUCGCCUCACACAGUGCUCCAGGGAAGUAGCCGGAGGCAGUAGCUAGCUGCGCACUCGCUGAUUUUGGCAUAGCCUAGUGGUUGUUAACCAAGCUAAGCAGGUCAUGUCUCUGUCAGCUAGAAGUACCAGUGUUAGGCGUUACGUAGAGUGAUUUGCUUAUGGGUUUCAGUGAGUUAGAUGUACCAGGAUGGGAGAUGCGAGUGUUCUUUACUUGUGAGUUUAUUA